Molecule: ribosomal RNA, 468 nt
Filed under: uncultured bacterium
Lineage: Bacteria
Description: partial 16S ribosomal RNA
Rfam family: Bacterial small subunit ribosomal RNA
Source: RNAcentral
GACGAACGCUGGCGGCGUGCUUAACACAUGCAAGUCGAACGGAAAGGCCCUGCUUUUGUGGGGUGCUCGAGUGGCGAACGGGUGAGUAACACGUGAGUAACCUGCCCUUGACUUUGGGAUAACUUCAGGAAACUGGGGCUAAUACCGGAUAGGAGCUCCUGCUGCAUGGUGGGGGUUGGAAAGUUUCGGCGGUUGGGGAUGGACUCGCGGCUUAUCAGCUUGUUGGUGGGGUAGUGGCUUACCAAGGCUUUGACGGGUAGCCGGCCUGAGAGGGUGACCGGCCACAUUGGGACUGAGAUACGGCCCAGACUCCUACGGGAGGCAGCAGUGGGGAAUAUUGCACAGUGGGCGGAAGCCUGAUGCAGCAACGCCGCGUGCGGGAUGACGGCCUUCGGGUUGUAAACCGCUUGCGCCUGUGACGAAGCGUGAGUGACGGUAAUGGGUAAAGAAGCACCGGCUAACUACGUG